RNAcentral lists this ribosomal RNA (3084 nucleotides) under Nadsonia starkeyi-henricii. Its description in RNAcentral is "bacterial LSU rRNA". The stretch from base 298 to 3020 matches the Rfam family "Bacterial large subunit ribosomal RNA". Lineage: Eukaryota; Fungi; Ascomycota; Dipodascomycetes; Dipodascales. The record is from RNAcentral.
AUAUUCUCCAAGGGGGAAUGGAUAAUAUGGAAAUAUUGGCAUAGGAAAGCCAAAACAUUUGCUAAGUGUUCGAUUUACGUCUGAUGAGUUCGAAUCUCAUUAUUUCCGAUAAAAAUAAUAAUAUAAAAAAUAUAACAGUAAGAAUAAUAAGAGAUAUGAAAUGAAUUUAAUAAAUUAUAAGAUAUGUUAAUGGAUAUAAAGGUUUAUCAUAGAUAGGAUAAAAAUCAAAGGAGUGAAUUAACUUAAUUAGGAAUAACUAAUUAACAAUUAAGAACAAGAAUGAGAAAUCCUAAAGGAAACUAAAUAAAUAUUAGGUGAGAAUUUAAUAUAUAUGAAGGGACAGUAUGAACUGAAACAUCUAAGUAAUACUAGGAAAAAAAAUCAAUCGAGAUACUUUAAGUAACGGCGAGUGAAAGAAGUUAAAGUCUAAUAAGUAGGUAGUGAAAAUUAUUGAAUAACGGAUUAACCAAUUCGAAGACUAAAUACUAUGAUAAAGCCACAUGAGUACCGUGAGGGAAAUAAUAAAAAUUGACAUAUUUAGAGCAAUAUGAUAAUAGGGUAAUACCUUAAAUCAUAUGUACCUUGUGUAUAAUGGGCCAACAAGUUAAUUAAUCUAGCAAAGUUAAAAAAAUAACUAAAGUUAAAACGAAUAAUUAUUAUAUAUUGAUAAUUAAUAGUUAGAUUAUUUAGACCCGAAACAUAAUGAUUUAACCUAGUUCAGGUACAUUAGUGACCGAACCAGUUGAUGUUGCAAUAUCAUUGGAUGAAACUAGGUUGGCAAGUGAAAUGCUAAUCGGAUUAUGAGAUAGCUGGUUCUCUGCGAAAUAUAUUUUAGUAUAGACUUAGAAAUUAUUUUAAUCAUGUAACAGCAAUUAAUUACUAUCUUAGGAUAUAUCAUGGGGUCUUUAACUAGAUUUAUGUGAGUAAUUUAAACUCGAAAUCAUGAUUAAAUUUAUCUAAGAUUCAGAAUUAUGGCGAUAAGGUCGUGGUUCAAAGGGGAAACAGCCCUAAACGUAAAAUAAAGUCCCAAAAGGAUAAUGCCCACUCGCUAAGCGAGUAGGGGAUCAUCUAGCAUUUUAUGCUAGAUAAUUAAGUGAAAUUAAGAUGGAAUAAUAUAAAGACAAUAGGUUAGUGGGUUUGAUAAUAAUCAUCUUUUAAUGAAAAUGUAACAAUUUACCUAUCUAUAGUAUUAUAUCAUCGACGAUAUAACGGGUCUUAAAUUAUCUACUGAAUUUACGUAUGACUAUAUGUUUUUAUAUAAAACUAUAGUUAUUGGUAGCAGAGCAUUGUAUGAAAUUGAAAUUUAUAUUUUUAAUUUAAAUUUUUAUAAUACAAUAGAGAAUGUUGGCAUGAGUAACGUCAAAGGAUGAAUAUUCGCAUUGCGAAUAUGAUUAAACAUCCUCACCUUAUACUUAAGGUUUUACUAUAAAAUCGGCCUUUAAGAAAAUAUAAUAAAUUAUAUUUUCGAUAAUUAUAAUUUGAAUGUAAAAAAGUUUGAUUUAUAAAGAAAAUUACGUAAGAAAUAGUUUUACAUUUACAGUUAUGCUGUAAAUGUUCCUUUAGGGUUUACCCGAGGAGUUAUAAAAAGAAUUCAAGAAAAUAAACAUAAUUUAAAGAACACCGUAAUGUAAACCGACACUGGUAAGUAAGUAGAGUAUAUGAAGGUGAACUAAAAAAUUAAAGCUAAGGAACUCGGCAAAAAGAUUAUCUAAAGUUCGUCUAUUAGAUAAAUUCGUGCAAACGAAAACAAAAACUAAGUUGUGCAACUGUUUACUAAAAACACAUCACGAUGCUAAUAUUUUAAUUAGUCGUAUAUCGUGUGAAACCUGCUCAAUUAUUUAAAUAAUAAUUAUUAUACUUUACGCUCCGCGUAAGGAACUGAUAUUUAAAAUUAGAUGAAAUAGCGGUCUUAACGUGAGGAUCCGAAGGUAGCGAAAUUCAUUGUCCACUAAUUAUGGUCCUGCAUGAAUGGCGCAAUGAUGCAACAACUGUCUUGGCUUUAAUUUAGGUGAAAUUGAAAUAGCUGUGAAGAUGCAGUUUACCCGCAGAUAGACAGAAAGACCCUAUGCAACUUAACUGUAGUAUGUUAUUGGUUAUCAGUUUUAUAUAUUUAUUUUGUUUACAAAAUGACUCCCUUUGGGGAGUUAUAUAUAAAAUAGAUAGUUAUCAUUUUCAUUGGAGUAAUAUAAUAGUUAAUUUUAACAAAAUUUGAGAAAUUAUAACGUUAAUGAUAUAACCCCUAAUCUAUUUUUAUAGAGACAGUGACAUAUUGGCAGUUUAGAUGGGGCGUCAGUUUCAGCAAAAGUAUCUGAAACAUCCAAGUAAUAAAAUAACCACUUUUUCUCUCAGAGAAAAAUUUAGGUAAAAUUAAUAACUUACGCAAAGCGUAAGGAACUAUGUAUUUACAAAUUUAUAGUAAAAUAUAAUUGUAAUAAUAGAAUAUUAGUUAGGAUAGCCAUUUGCAAGGAAAGCAAAGAAAUUAAAAAAUUUCAUAGGUAGUAUAAUAGCAUAAACCUAACUUAAUUAAGACUAUGACACUAGGAUUAAGCUCGUAAGAGAGGUAUAGUGAACAGAUUAGAUUAUUUUUCUAGGUUAGACUAAUCGAUAAUGAAUAAAAGUUACGCUAGGGAUAACAGGCUAAUAUAGUGAAAGAGUACAAAUUGUAAACUAUGUUUGGCACCUCGAUGUCGACUCAACUUAUCCUGAUGGUGUAGUAGCUAUCAAUGGUUCGACUGUUCGUCGAUUAAAAAGUUACGUGAGUUGGGUUAAAUACGUCGUGAGACAGUAUGGUUCUUAUCUUCUGUGGGACAAUAUCAAGAAUAUUCCGAUAUCUAGUACGAAAGGACCGAUAUCCAUAAACCAAUUGUUAUUUGUAAAAUUAUUUUAAUACAAAUUAGCUACGUUUAUUAUUAAUAAGAAUUGAACGCAUCUCAAAUUCGAAGUUAUAUAUUGGAGAUAUAUAUAUUUUUAAAGUAGACUACUUUAUUUUCGUAUUUAUACGAAUUGUGAGGUCUAGAUUUACAUUUUGUAAAUGAUGACUAUUAAUUAAAAUUAAUUUAUUAAAUUUCUUAUCUCUUAUUCUUU